RNAcentral lists this non-coding RNA (85 nucleotides) under uncultured Blautia sp. Its description in RNAcentral is "Glycine riboswitch". It matches the Rfam family "Glycine riboswitch aptamer", at positions 8 to 87 of the family's 94-position model. Rfam says of the family: This family represents the bacterial glycine riboswitch. Glycine riboswitches usually consist of two metabolite-binding aptamers domains with similar structures in tandem. Lineage: Bacteria; Bacillati; Bacillota; Clostridia; Lachnospirales; Lachnospiraceae. The record is from RNAcentral.
GCUCUCUGGAGAAUCCCGCCUAACGGGUGCCGAAGGUGAAAGGAAACGAAGUUUCUGAAUCUCUCAGGCAAAAGGACAGUGAAUG